CGCUAGAAGAAGUAACUUUUAGUAAUACCUGCCCAGUGCGAAAUAUUAAUGUAAACGGCCGCCYUAGCGKGAGGGUSCUAAGGUAGCGAAAUUCCUUGCCUUUUSAUUGUAGGCCYGCAUGAAUGGUUUAACGAGGGUUUAGCUGUCUCUAAAUUUUUAAUUGAAAUUGUAUUGAAGGUGAAGAUACCUUCAUUUAAAAGUUAGACAAAAAGACCCCGUGCAACUUUGAAAAUUAACUUUAUUCAGGGGUAAAAGAUUUUUAGGUGGGGCGCCUAGAAAGUAAGCCUAACCUUUCUGAGUAGGAGUUUCUUUCAGGAGUUGACCCGAUUAUAUUCGAUCAUAGGAGAAGUUACGCCGGGGAUAACAGGCUAAUCCUUUAGUAGAGCUCGUAUUGGCUAAAGGGAUUGGCACCUCGAUGUUGAAUCAGGGAUGAUAGCUUCAAGGCGUAGAGGCUUUGAGAGUAGGUCUGUUCGACCUUUAAUA
Molecule: ribosomal RNA, 483 nt
Filed under: Magallana bilineata (tropical oyster)
Lineage: Eukaryota; Metazoa; Mollusca; Bivalvia; Ostreida; Ostreidae
Description: partial large subunit ribosomal RNA
Source: RNAcentral